Molecule: ribosomal RNA, 915 nt
Filed under: uncultured bacterium
Lineage: Bacteria
Description: bacterial SSU rRNA
Rfam family: Bacterial small subunit ribosomal RNA
Source: RNAcentral
ACGCUGGCGGCGUGCCUAACACAUGCAAGUCGAGCGGCAGCGCGAGUAGUUUACUACUUGGCGGCGAGCGGCGGACGGCUGAGUAACGCGUGGGAAUUUGCCCCAAAGUGAGGAAUAACUGCCCGAAAGGGUGGCUAAUGCCGCAUAUGAUCUUCGGAUUAAAGGAUUUAUCCGCUUUGGGAGAAGCCCGCGUCGGAUUAGGUAGUUGGUGAGGUAUGGCUCACCAAGCCGACGAUCCGUAGCUGGUCUGAGAGGAUGACCAGCCAGACUGGAACUGAGACACGGUCCAGACUCCUACGGGAGGCAGCAGUGAGGAAUCUUCCACAAUGGGCGAAAGCCUGAUGGAGCAACGCCGCGUGCAGGAUGAAGGCCUUCGGGUUGUAAACUGCUUUUAUAAGUGAGGAAUAUGACGGUAGCUUAUGAAUAAGGAUCGGCUAACUACGUGCCAGCAGCCGCGGUCAUACGUAGGAUCCGAGCGUUAUCCGGAGUGACUGGGCGUAAAGAGUUGCGUAGGCGGUUUGUUAAGUGAAUAGUGAAAUCUGGUGGCUCAACCAUACAGGCUAUUAUUCAAACUGGCAAACUCGAGAGUGGUAGAGGUCACUGGAAUUUCUUGUGUAGGAGUGAAAUCCGUAGAUAUAAGAAGGAACACCGAUGGCGUAGGCAGGUGACUGGACCAUUUCUGACGCUAAGGCACGAAAGCGUGGGGAGCGAACCGGAUUAGAUACCCGGGUAGUCCACGCCGUAAACGAUGGAUACUGGCUGUUGGAGGUAUCGACCCCUUCAGUAGCGAAGCUAACGCGUUAAGUAUCCCGCCUGUGGAGUACGGUCGCAAGACUAAAACAUAAAGGAAUUGACGGGGACCCGCACAAGCGGUGGAUCGUGUUCUUUAAUUCGAUGCUAAACGAAGAACCUUAC